This 392-nucleotide ribosomal RNA is filed under the name uncultured Rickettsia sp. RNAcentral describes it as "bacterial SSU rRNA". It matches the Rfam family "Bacterial small subunit ribosomal RNA", at positions 66 to 490 of the family's 1533-position model. The record is from RNAcentral. Lineage: Bacteria; Pseudomonadati; Pseudomonadota; Alphaproteobacteria; Rickettsiales; Rickettsiaceae.
ACGGACUAAUUGGGGCUUGCUCCAAUUAGUUAGUGGCAGACGGGUGAGUAACACGUGGGAAUCUACCCAUCAGUACGGAAUAACUUUUAGAAAUAAAAGCUAAUACCGCAUAUUCUCUACGGAGGAAAGAUUUAUCGCUGAUGGAUGAGCCCGCGUCAGAUUAGGUAGUUGGUGAGGUAAUGGCUUACCAAGCCGACGAUCUGUAGCUGGUCUGAGAGGAUGAUCAGCCACACUGGGACUGAGACACGGCCCAGACUCCUACGGGAGGCAGCAGUGGGGAAUAUUGGACAAUGGGCGAAAGCCUGAUCCAGCAAUACCGAGUGAGUGAUGAAGGCCUUAGGGUUGUAAAGCUCUUUUAGCAAGGAAGAUAAUGACGUUACUUGCAGAAAAAG